UCCACUACUCGGUUGGUAGAGUAUAAAGCUCUUAACCUUGUGGACGUGGGUUCAAGCCCCAUGGUGGAG
This 69-nucleotide transfer RNA is filed under the name Triticum aestivum (bread wheat). It matches the Rfam family "tRNA". Rfam says of the family: Transfer RNA (tRNA) molecules are approximately 80 nucleotides in length. Their secondary structure includes four short double-helical elements and three loops (D, anti-codon, and T loops). Further hydrogen bonds mediate the characteristic L-shaped molecular structure. tRNAs have two regions of fundamental functional importance: the anti-codon, which is responsible for specific mRNA codon recognition, and the 3' end, to which the tRNAs corresponding amino acid is attached (by aminoacyl-tRNA synthetases). tRNAs cope with the degeneracy of the genetic code in two manners: having more than one tRNA (with a specific anti-codon) for a particular amino acid; and 'wobble' base-pairing, i.e. permitting non-standard base-pairing at the 3rd anti-codon position. The record is from Rfam by way of RNAcentral. Lineage: Eukaryota; Viridiplantae; Streptophyta; Magnoliopsida; Poales; Poaceae.